Molecule: long non-coding RNA, 1159 nt
Filed under: Salmo salar (Atlantic salmon)
Lineage: Eukaryota; Metazoa; Chordata; Actinopteri; Salmoniformes; Salmonidae
Description: lncRNA (ENSSSAG00000102763.1)
Source: RNAcentral
GCAGAGUGGGAGAGGUGGAGGUGAUGGGAAGGCGAGGGCAGUUUAGAUUUCCCACGGCCCUCUGCUCUCUUCCUCUGUGCCAUACACCUGUAGGUGUGCUUGAGGAAUAGCUACUCAUUAGCUGCCAGUGGGGCUGGCUCUUUUUAGUUGCCAUGGAUUAUCAAAACAAACUAAUUCAUGGAUGAAUGAGAUAGGUAAAGGUUGCCAUUCAUGGGUCAUGACGAGGGGUGAGAGAUUCCUUUGGCUGUCUGAUCUAUUGAUAAGUCAUGUCUCUGCUCUUUCCAGCUCUGACCCUGUGAUCAGAAUGAAUGAGCUAGGCCAGAGUUUCUCUCUCAGAGGCUUCUCAUUCAUUCACACUGAGUGACGACCACUGAAGACCACUCCAUCUCCCCCCACAGAUCCACACCACACAGCCCCCACUAUGACCAAUUCGGCAGGCAGCUUUUCAAAGCUUGCCUGGCUGUCAGAUUAAUGUCGUCUAGCAGAGACAUUGUGAUGCUAACUAGAAUAACACCGUGUUCUGCAUUUCUCACCUGGAGGCUGGAGCCAUGGUUGACCAGGUCUCACUGCAGAGAGACAUGAAAUAUGAACGAUAAACUUUCUCUUUCUCCUAUCGUACCUGUAAUACCCAGAGCAGAGGACACCUCAGACAUCACGGAGACUGAGAAGCUACAGGGAGAUACUUUCACAAAACUUUUUUGUCUGUGAAAGUGCUCUAAUGUUGAAAGUCCAACGAACAGUUGGAGUUGCAACAAUUUUCUAAACAUAAGCGAUUUGCUAUAACCUAUAUUUCAGAGUGGUAUGAUGAUGACAACUUUCACUCACUCAAUCAAUAAUCUAGUUGCCCUACCACUGCUUUGUCAAAUGAAGAUGACCAACCGACUCUACUGGAUUAAUUCAUUUCAAACAUUGUGAUUUAUUGUAACAUUAUUCCCUGGCUGUCAUCACCCCUGGCGAGACUCCCUAUUCUAAUGUCAUGAGCAAUGAGAGUGAUUGAGAAAGAAGACAAGAGAAAGCAGGAGUAUGCUGGAGUGUGUGAUUGCAAAUGAGUAGGCUAGCAGGGAGAGGAAGAGAGGUGGGUCAAAGAGACAAUGAGAGAGUGGGGGCAAAGAGAGAAAGAGAAAGGGAAAGAGAGAUGAGAGGGAGAGAGAGAUAGAGG